GCCAGACUCCUACGGGAGGCAGCAGUGAGGAAUAUUGGUCAAUGGUCGGGAGACUGAACCAGCCAAGCCGCGUGAGGGAGGAAGGUACAGAGUAUCGUAAACCUCUUUUGUCGGAGAACAAAACCCAGGACGUGUCCCGGACUGCGUGUAUCCGAAGAAAAAGCAUCGGCUAACUCCGUGCCAGCAGCCGCGGUAAUACGGAGGAUGCGAGCGUUAUCCGGAUUUAUUGGGUUUAAAGGGUGCGUAGGCGGACGCUUAAGUCAGCGGUAAAAUUGCGGGGCUCAACCUCGUCGAGCCGUUGAAACUGGGUGCCUUGAGUGGGCGAGAAGUACGCGGAAUGCGUGGUGUAGCGGUGAAAUGCAUAGAUAUCACGCAGAACUCCGAUUGCGAAGGCAGCGUACCGGCGCCCAACUGACGCUGAAGCACGAAGGCGUGGGUAUCGAACAGGAUUAGAUACCCCAGUAA
Molecule: ribosomal RNA, 465 nt
Filed under: uncultured bacterium
Lineage: Bacteria
Description: bacterial SSU rRNA
Rfam family: Bacterial small subunit ribosomal RNA
Source: RNAcentral